RNAcentral lists this non-coding RNA (1330 nucleotides) under Pterosiphonia complanata. RNAcentral describes it as "small subunit ribosomal RNA". It matches the Rfam family "Bacterial small subunit ribosomal RNA". The record is from RNAcentral. Lineage: Eukaryota; Rhodophyta; Florideophyceae; Ceramiales; Rhodomelaceae.
GAAUAAAAGAGUUUGAUCCUGGCUCCGAAUGAAUGCUUUUGGUUAAUUUUACACAUGCAAGUUAUUAAUUUUUAAUAGCGUACGGGUGAGUAAUAUAUAAAAAUAAUUUUUAAAAAAAAUAGUUUAUAUGAGAUUAAGUAAUAAAUGAAUUUAAAUUUUCAAGUUAGCUAAUAAUCUCUAGUUGGUUUUUGAGGAUGAUCAACCACAAUGGAAUUGGAAAAUGGUUCAUACUAAAUUUUAGGCAGCAGUGAAGAAUAUUGGACAAUGAGAGUAAAACUUGAUCCAGUUAAACCAAUUAUGUGAAGAAGGUUUUUUAUUGUAAAACAUUAGAUAUUGCACGAAUAAUGUUGUUUGCAAUAUUUUAGUCCUGGCUAAUUUCGUGCCAGCAGCCGCGGUAAAACGAGAAGGGCAAGUGUUAUUCAAAUUUAUUGGGCGUAAAGAAUUAUUAGAUUGCAAAUUAGUGAAAUAUUUUUAAUUAAUAUAAAGUUUAUUUUAGAGCUAGAUUACUAAAAGAUUUGCUUGAGUUUAGAAAAAACGGUUUUAGAAUUUUAAGUGUAACAGUAAAAUGUAUUAAUAUUUAAAAGAAUUUCUAAGGUGAAUACAAAAAUCUUUUCUAAUACUGACAUUUUUUAAUUGAAGUAUAGGUAGCAAAAGGGAUUAGAUACCCCUGUAGUCUAUACCCUGAACUAUGAAUGUUAUUAUUUUCAAAAUUAAGAAGAAAAUAAUUAAAAACUAACGUAAAACAUUUCGCCUGGGAACUACGAUCGCAAGGUUAAAACUCAAAGGAAUUGACGGGAAUUCAAACAAGCAGUGGAGCAUGUGGUUUAAAUCGACAAUACGCGCGAAACCUUACCAAUUUUUGUUUAGCAGGUGUUGCAUGGCUGUCGUCAGUCCGUGCUUUGAAGUGUUUGGUUUAUUCCAAUAAACGGACGAAACUUUUGUAUGUUAAAAUUAAAUUUUUACAUAGUUUAGUAAGGACAUCUUAUUAAAAUGAAAACGACGACAAGUCCUCAUGACCCUUAUAAGUUGGGCUACUUUCAUGUGCUACAAUAUUUUUUACAAGAUAAAAUAAAAAAUAAAAUUUUUUAAUAGAAAAAAAAAUAAUGCGAAUUGUUUUCUGAAACUUGAAAAUAUAAAGUUGGAAUUGCUAGUAAUCGUUUAUAAGAAUGUUACGGUGAAUUCGUUCUUGAAUUUUGUACACACCGCCCGUCACGCUAUGGAAAUUAAUUUUUACUUAAAAAAUAAAUAUAUAGUUUAGAGUAAAAUAAAGACUAGAGUGAAGUCGUAACAAGGUAGCCGUAGGGGAACCUGUGGCUGGAAUAAUAAAGUU